CCCUUAGAUGUUCUGGGCUGCACGCGCGCUACACUGAUGCACUCAACGAGUUUACGACCUUGUCCGAGAGGAUUGGGUAAUCUUUUUAAAAUGCAUCGUGAUGGGGAUAGAUUAUUGCAAUUAUUAAUCUUCAACGAGGAAUUCCUAGUAAGCGCGAGUCAUCAGCUCGUGCUGAUUACGUCCCUGCCCUUUGUACACACCGCCCGUCGCUCCUACCGAUUGGGUGAGCCGAUGAAACUCUCGGAUGUAGGCUAUUCAUAGCCCGCAGAAGAGAUGUGAAUCGUAGCGCUUAGAGGAAGGAGAAGUCGUAACA
This 313-nucleotide ribosomal RNA is filed under the name uncultured eukaryote. Its description in RNAcentral is "partial 18S ribosomal RNA". It matches the Rfam family "Eukaryotic small subunit ribosomal RNA", at positions 1470 to 1796 of the family's 1831-position model. The record is from RNAcentral.